GAUGAACGCUGGCGGCGUGCCUAAUACAUGCAAGUCGAGCGAACAGACGAGGAGCUUGCUCCUCUGACGUUAGCGGCGGACGGGUGAGUAACACGUGGAUAACCUACCUAUAAGACUGGGAUAACUUCGGGAAACCGGAGCUAAUACCGGAUAACAUGUUGAACCGCAUGGUUCAACAGUGAAAGACGGUCUUGCUGUCACUUAUAGAUGGAUCCGCGCCGCAUUAGCUAGUUGGUAAGGUAACGGCUUACCAAGGCAACGAUGCGUAGCCGACCUGAGAGGGUGAUCGGCCACAAUGGAACUGAGACACGGUCCAGACUCCUACGGGAGGCAGCAGUAGGGAAUCUUCCGCAAUGGGCGAAAGCCUGACGGAGCAACGCCGCGUGAGUGAAGAAGGUCUUCGGAUCGUAAAACUCUGUUAUUAGGGAAGAACAAAUGUGUAAGUAACUAUGCACGUCUUGACGGUACCUAAUCAGAAAGCCACGGCUAACUACGUG
Molecule: ribosomal RNA, 497 nt
Filed under: uncultured bacterium
Lineage: Bacteria
Description: partial 16S ribosomal RNA
Rfam family: Bacterial small subunit ribosomal RNA
Source: RNAcentral